GAUGAACGCUGGCGGCGUGCCUAAUACAUGCAAGUCGAGCGAACAGACGAGGAGCUUGCUCCUCUGACGUUAGCGGCGGACGGGUGAGUAACACGUGGAUAACCUACCUAUAAGACUGGGAUAACUUCGGGAAACCGGAGCUAAUACCGGAUAAUCUAUUGAACCGCAUGGUUCAAUAGUGAAAGACGGUUUUGCUGUCACUUAUAGAUGGAUCCGCGCCGCAUUAGCUAGUUGGUAAGGUAACAGCUUACCAAGGCAACGAUGAGUAGCCGACCUGAGAGGGGGAUCGGCCACACUGGAACUGAGACACGGUCCAGAAUCCUACGGGAGGCAGCAGUAGGGAAUCUUCCGCAAUGGGCGAAAGCCUGACGGAGCAACGCCGCGUGAGUGAUGAAGGUCUUCGGAUCGUAAAACUCUGUUAUUAGGGAAGAACAAAUGUGUAAGUAACUAUGCACGUCAUGACGGUACCUAAUCAGAAAGCCACGGCUAACUACGUG
This 497-nucleotide ribosomal RNA is filed under the name uncultured bacterium. Its description in RNAcentral is "partial 16S ribosomal RNA". It matches the Rfam family "Bacterial small subunit ribosomal RNA", at positions 28 to 507 of the family's 1533-position model. The record is from RNAcentral.